UGGGGAAUUUUGGACAAUGGGCGCAAGCCUGAUCCAGCCAUGCCGCGUGGGUGAAGAAGGCCUUCGGGUUGUAAAGCCCUUUUGUCCGGAAAGAAAAGUUCUGGGUUAAUAGCCUAGGAUCAUGACGGUACCGGAAGAAUAAGCACCGGCUAACUUCGUGCCAGCAGCCGCGGUAAUACGGAGGGUGCAAGCGUUAUCCGGAUUUACUGGGUUUAAAGGGUGUGUAGGCGGAUUAUUAAGUCAGAUGUGAAAGCCCUGGGCUCAACCUGGGAACUGCAUUUGAUACUGGAUCACUAGAGUGCGGUAGAGGAUAGUGGAAUUCCCGGUGUAGCAGUGAAAUGCGUAGAGAUCGGGAGGAACACCAGUGGCGAAGGCGACUAUCUGGACCAGCACUGACACUGAGGCACGAAAGCGUGGGGAGCAAACA
This 427-nucleotide ribosomal RNA is filed under the name uncultured bacterium. RNAcentral's name for it is "bacterial SSU rRNA". It matches the Rfam family "Bacterial small subunit ribosomal RNA", at positions 355 to 774 of the family's 1533-position model. The record is from RNAcentral.